UAAUUUCCCUUUACUUACUAAUAUUUUGAGC
RNAcentral lists this non-coding RNA (31 nucleotides) under Mus musculus (house mouse). Lineage: Eukaryota; Metazoa; Chordata; Mammalia; Rodentia; Muridae. The record is from RNAcentral.